AAAAGAGUGACAAUCUUUCUGAGAUUCUUUGCUUCGUGGCAUGUCUCCAUUAGCAGUCUGCUGUCGUGGAAGGCGAAACAUAUGACUUGCUGCACAUGUGAGAGAAUGUCCAUAUUGCAAAGCCUGCUAGCCUCGAUCAAUGGCAGAUGAUCAUUCUGGGGUUUCUCAAUCACAUGUUUGACUUUGGAUAACAAUUCCUGGCUCUCUGGUGGUUGCAUUUUCAGACUCUGGGGCAAGAUUACAGUAAGCAGUUCGGGCUUCUCUGCCCUUAAAGCGCCUCUGAUAACAGCAGCAUUAGUCCCAGAUGCUCCUGAUGUAAAUAUGUGAUUUUUUGUUAUCACCAUAGCAUAGCUAAGGAUCUCGAUCAAUUGCUGAUGCAUGAAUCCCAUGUUACGAGUUCCAAAGAAACCGAUUGCUCUAGG
This 422-nucleotide unclassified non-coding RNA is filed under the name Hevea brasiliensis (rubber tree). Lineage: Eukaryota; Viridiplantae; Streptophyta; Magnoliopsida; Malpighiales; Euphorbiaceae. The record is from RNAcentral.